AUUGAACGCUAGCGGGAUGCCUUACACAUGCAAGUCGAACGGAGUGGCGAACGGGUGAGUAAUGUAUCGGAACGUGCCCAGUAGCGGGGGAUAACUACGCGAAAGCGUAGCUAAUACCGCAUACUCUUGGAGCGGCCGAUAUCGGAUUAGCUUGUUGGUGGGGUAACGGUUCACCAAGGCGACGAUCCGUAGCUGGGUUGAGAGGACGACCAGCCAAACUGGGGCUGAGAAACGGCCCAGACGCCGACGGGAUGGAGUCGUGGGGAAUUUUGGACAGUGGGGGAAACCCUGAUCCAGCCAACCCGCGUAGGCGAUGAGGGCCUGCGGGUUGUAAAGCACUUUUGGCAGGAAAGCGGUACCUGUAGAAUAAGCACCGGCUAACUACGUGCCAGCCGCCGCGGUAAUUC
RNAcentral lists this ribosomal RNA (407 nucleotides) under uncultured bacterium. RNAcentral's name for it is "partial 16S ribosomal RNA". It matches the Rfam family "Bacterial small subunit ribosomal RNA", at positions 30 to 526 of the family's 1533-position model. The record is from RNAcentral.